Molecule: transfer RNA, 74 nt
Filed under: Nonlabens ulvanivorans
Lineage: Bacteria; Pseudomonadati; Bacteroidota; Flavobacteriia; Flavobacteriales; Flavobacteriaceae
Description: tRNA-Pro
Rfam family: tRNA
About the family: Transfer RNA (tRNA) molecules are approximately 80 nucleotides in length. Their secondary structure includes four short double-helical elements and three loops (D, anti-codon, and T loops).
Source: RNAcentral
GGGGGUGUAGCGUAGCCCGGUCAUCGCGCUCGUUUGGGACGAGGAGGUCGCAGGUUCGAAUCCUGCCACCCCCG